CUUUCUGCCCGUGGACGCCGCCGAAGAAGCAUCGUUAAAGUCUCUCUUCUCCCUGCCGUCAUGUCUAAGUCAGAGUCUCCUAAAGAGCCCGAACAGCUGAGGAAGCUCUUCAUUGGAGGGUUGAGCUUUGAAACAACCGAUGAGAGCCUGAGGAGCCAUUUUGAGCAAUGGGGAACGCUCACGGACUGUGUGGUAAUGAGAGAUCCAAACACCAAGCGUUCCAGGGGCUUUGGGUUUGUCACAUAUGCCACUGUGGAGGAGGUGGAUGCAGCUAUGAAUGCAAGGCCACACAAGGUGGACGGAAGAGUUGUGGAACCAAAGAGAGCUGUCUCAAGAGAAGAUUCUCAAAGACCAGGUGCCCACUUAACUGUGGAAAAGAUAUUUGUUGGUGGCAUUAAAGAAGACACUGAAGAACAUCACCUAAGAGAUUAUUUUGAACAGUAUGGGAAAAUUGAAGUGAUUGAAAUCAUGACCGACCGAGGCAGUGGCAAGAAAAGGGGCUUUGCCUUUGUAACCUUUGAUGACCAUGACUCCGUGGAUAAGAUUGUCAUUCAGAAAUACCAUACUGUGAAUGGCCACAACUGUGAAGUUAGGAAAGCCCUGUCAAAGCAAGAGAUGGCUAGUGCUUCAUCCAGCCAAAGAGGUCGAAGUGGUUCUGGAAACUUUGGUGGUGGUCGUGGAGGUGGUUUCGGUGGGAAUGACAACUUCGGUCGUGGAGGAAACUUCAGUGGUCGUGGUGGCUUUGGUGGCAGCCGUGGUGGUGGUGGAUAUGGUGGCAGUGGGGAUGGCUAUAAUGGAUUUGGUAAUGAUGGAAGCAAUUUUGGAGGUGGUGGAAGCUACAAUGAUUUUGGCAAUUACAACAAUCAGUCUUCAAAUUUUGGACCCAUGAAGGGAGGAAAUUUUGGAGGCAGAAGCUCUGGCCCCUAUGGCGGUGGAGGCCAAUACUUUGCAAAACCACGAAACCAAGGUGGCUAUGGCGGUUCCAGCAGCAGCAGUAGCUAUGGCAGUGGCAGAAGAUUUUAAUUAGGAAACAAAGCUUAGCAGGAGAGGAGAGCCAGAGAAGUGACAGGGAAGCUACAGGUUACAACAGAUUUGUGAACUCAGCCAAGCACAGUGGUGGCAGGGCCUAGCUGCUACAAAGAAGACAUGUUUUAGACAAAUACUCAUGUGUAUGGGCAAAAAACUCGAGGACUGUAUUUGUGACUAAUUGUAUAACAGGUUAUUUUAGUUUCUGUUCUGUGGAAAGUGUAAAGCAUUCCAACAAAGGGUUUUAAUGUAGAUUUUUUUUUUUGCACCCAUGCUGUUGAUUGCUAAAUGUAAUAGUCUGAUCGUGACGCUGAAUAAAUGUCUUUUUUUUUAAAAAAAAAAAAA
RNA transcript from Piliocolobus tephrosceles (Ugandan red Colobus), 1371 nucleotides. It is a transcript of the gene named heterogeneous nuclear ribonucleoprotein A1-like, with no coding region annotated. NCBI's taxonomy places the organism in Eukaryota, Metazoa, Chordata, Mammalia, Primates, Cercopithecidae. The transcript has a single exon. The record is from RefSeq and is a predicted model, not a curated record.